UACGGGAGGCAGCAGUGGGGAAUAUUGCACAAUGGGCGAAAGCCUGAUGCAGCUAUGCCGCGUGUAUGAAGAAGGCCUUAGGGUUGUAAAGUACUUUCAUCGGGGAGGAAAAAACAAAACUAAUAAUUUUAUUUCUUGACGUUACCCGAAAAAGAAGCACCGGCUAACUCCGUGCCAGCAGCCGCGGUAAUACGGAGGGUGCUAGCGUUAAUCAGAAUUACUGGGCGUAAAGAGCACGUAGGUGGUUUUUUUAAAAUCAGAUGUGAAAUCCCUGGGCUUAACCUAGGAACUGCAUUUUGAAACUGAAAUACUAGAGUAUCGUAGAGGGAGGUAGAAUUCUAGGUGUAGCGGUGAAAUGCGUAGAUAUCUGGAGGAAUACCUGUGGCGAAAGCGGCCUCCUAAACGAAUACUGACACUGAGGUGCGAAAAGCGUGGGGAGCGAAAACAGGGAUUUUAGAUACC
This 462-nucleotide ribosomal RNA is filed under the name uncultured bacterium. RNAcentral describes it as "bacterial SSU rRNA". It matches the Rfam family "Bacterial small subunit ribosomal RNA", at positions 340 to 786 of the family's 1533-position model. The record is from RNAcentral.